RNAcentral lists this long non-coding RNA (304 nucleotides) under Theobroma cacao (cacao). RNAcentral describes it as "long non-coding RNA (TCAC_LNC005609)". The record is from RNAcentral. Lineage: Eukaryota; Viridiplantae; Streptophyta; Magnoliopsida; Malvales; Malvaceae.
CUUCUUGUAAGAGCUAGUAUUCCUUCUUCCAUUUGCAUUUUGAGGCGCCUCCUUUUGUUUCACCCUCAAAUUAUCUUGUUUCUUCUUUUUAGCUUUCCACCCAUAAGCUACCUUUUUAACCACCAUUUUAUGGCCAUCAACAAUCCUCAAAUUUCCCAAAGCAAUUGUUUUUCUCAUUUCUUUUUUGAAUCUAUAGAGGACAAAAGCGAAAGUGCUCCUUGUUCUACUUGACCCAUUGUUUUUCCAUACAAUAUAGAUGUCAACUACUUUUCAAAGUUCCUUAAAUAUCUCUCUUAAAUCUUGC